CUUGAUCAACGUCAGGAUGCCGGAAGCUGCUUUACCGGAUGGUCCCAGGCUGAUCUUCCAGCAAAAGGUGGAGUGAGGAACAGGCUGAAUAGUUAUUGUACAUCAAGGGGCUGGGAAUGGGCGAAACCGCUCAGGCUGUGUGUCUGACACCAUAUGACAUUUGUAGAUAUUAACUGAAAUUGAAAACAUCGGGGGCGACAUAGCAUUUUGGAUAUGGUUUGCAACUCAUGUAAUGUCAACUUUGAACAGUUCAAGAUCCAGUUUUCACCAGUGGUGGACUGGGUAUGGGACUUUCACUGGACGAGAGCCUUACUCCAUGCUGUAUGAGUUAGGAAUGUUUGAGUCAAUCACUAUGAUGGUUUCUGCCUUUUACAGACAGUGAGUUCCAGAGUCCCAGUGCAGUCUGGGUGAAAAAUGCUUUCCUCACAUCCCCCAGAAACCUCCAGCCCUCUACCUUAAAUCGAUGCCAUUGGUCAUUGAUCCCUCCAUUCUUCAUGAGAUGUUGAGGGGUGAUGGUUGGAUUGCCUCUUAUAGGAGAUGGUCAUUGCUUGCCAUUUGUGUGCACGAGUGUUAAUUGUCACUUGUCAGCCCAAGCCUGGGUGUUGUCAAGUCUUGCUGCAUUCCGACCCUCCGACUUCCACAGCAGUCAAAAAUGGUGCUGAUGAUUGUGUAAUCCUCGGCGAACAUCCUCACUUCUGACCUUACGAUGGAGUGAAGGUCAUUGAUGAAGCAGCUGGAGUUGGACACUACCCUGAGGAACUCCCUCAGAGAUGUCCUAGAGAUGAGAUGACUGACCUCUAACAACUAUGAGCCAGGUAUGGUUCCAACCACAGUGGAGUGUUUUCCCCAUUGAAUGAUGAACUGCUCACUGGUAUUGUUUUUGUCAUAGUUUGUAACUAUAACUUCAUGCAUGAGUGUUAUAAUUACUGUAGUUAAGUGACUAGGUAAUCACUGGUGAAUGUUUUUUUUACCAUCGUUGCUUUCUUAUUAGUGUGCUUCAUACACAGUGCUUUGUGCUGACUAGAUUAUCACUGAUAUAUUUACUGUAGUUUGGAACAGGAUUUCAAAUGUCCAUGUUAUAUUUGUUAUAGUUCAGCAACUGGAUCCUUGCAAUUCAGGUGUACAUUGGCAGUGGUUUAGUGCCUUGGUGCUUAUUAUUGCUUCCAAUUACUAUAGUUAAUUCAUGAUGUCCUCACCAGUGUGCUUUAUAUUUACACUGGUUAAUGAUUGGGUUCUCACUGGUGUAUUGUAUUUCCAGUGAUUUAAUGAUUGGAGCAUCAUGUGUGACCAUUAUGUUUGAAGCAUUAGACUUGCAUUUAUGUCAUGUUUUUCACAAUAAAAUCAUUUUCCCAAGUAGGGUCAUUGUUGUCAUGAAGGUGCUGAUUUGCAAUGGACAAACUCUCAAAAUGGCAAUUUAAUAGCAAACAGAUAAUCUGUCUUUGACAUGCUGAUACUUU
Molecule: non-coding RNA, 1457 nt
Organism: Chiloscyllium plagiosum (whitespotted bambooshark)
Lineage: Eukaryota; Metazoa; Chordata; Chondrichthyes; Orectolobiformes; Hemiscylliidae
Source: RefSeq, a predicted model, not a curated record